AGACUGGAUCCACGCUCUGUCUGCUUUCGCCACCUCUAACUUCUUGCGGGCGGCGGAGCUCGGGGCCGAGAUGGACGAGUCGUGGUUGGUCGCAAACGCCGCCAUUUACUUGUGGAACUACAGCAGCCACUUGUUAGCAGCCGGCGAGUACCGACGCCUGCUUCCCACCUUCCAGAGUCUUGUGGCGAUGCUCCAAAAAUCCAAGUUCACCGGGUAGGCUGGGUUUUAUUUACAGGUUAUAGGGCUGUCAAAGCUUUUACACAUUGUUUGUUUUCGUGUGAUUUAAUUUGCACGCCAAUAUAUAUUACUUAUCAGACUGAGGUGAUUUUGUCUGAGCCUUCAUACAUGCAUAAAUGAAGGCAUUGAUGGUAUUAAUGAUGGUAUUGACUGUAUGAAUAGCUUUACUGCAAACUAAAAGGAGGAGUAUUAUGCAUUUUUGUGCCGUUUUUAUGUUUUCCCCCGGUGUGAAGAGGCCUUUAAAACAGAAUUAUUUCUUGCAAGGUUUACUACCCUGAUGUACUGCAAUGUACUGCAAGCUAGACAAUUAUUUCUUGCAUGGUUUACUACCAUGAAUACCGUGUCAUGAAAACCUAAACACACGCUGUCGCAAUAGAAAAAGUACACCGAUUAAAGAACCAAAGAGGUAAUAGAACGAUGGCAACGAGUCAGGGAGAGAAAAAAAAAGAAGAAUAUCCUGAAAUUCAUCCAAAUCUCUUGUUUCACACGUUGUUCUAACAUCAGUCAGUGGGCGUCAAUGUUACUCAAUAAUAGAAAAGAGGUAGAAGUUGUGAACCACAGAUUAACUCAACCAUUCAGUUGAAUGCUGUGCAAAACAGUCAGUUUUCAGUUUAAACUCAAAGUAUCAUUAUUUGAACUGAUAACUAAUGCGUACGCGUUUGGCCUUCAAGCCCAAAUUGCGGUCCUGUUUCUUUCGGUGACGUCACUUUGGAGCAUUCUUUGUGUGGCUCAGGAACCGCACUCUGCUCGUGCUGCUCUGCGACGCCGUGGCCCGCGGGUUGAUUCAGCCUCAGUGCGGACCAGACGGCAUCGAGCGAGCCCCCCCCAGCAGAGAAGGCCAGGAGCAGACAGGGGAGGGGCGGGGAGAAGGCUGCCGGCGUCCACGGGGGUUUCUUGGACCCCGCUGCCCUUCAGGAUGUCCGCAAGGCAUCGGAGCUGUGUUACUACGGCCUUCGCCUGUCCGCCGGUAACACCCCGGAGGGAAGCGUCCCCAUCGCAGCCAGGAAACAGGUGGUGGCCACCUGGGUGCAGGUCAAGAGGCUCCUGCAGCAGGAGACUGGGUCAAAGAUGGACACCAAAGAUGAGGUACCCCUCUGUUCUGGCUGCUAGCAGUGGUAUUGCUAUUUUUGUUCCAUUGUUACAUGACGAUUCGUCGUGAUUUGUAACUCUACGAGAUCAUUUGAAUGGAUGGCAGAGUUAUAGCCAUAGACUGCACAUCUGUUUUAUCUGCCUUAAACCUGGAGAAGUAUAUUAGUGAAUGGGUCAAUAAAUGUCUGUUUUAACCGCCUCUGUAGAUAAUCCCCCAAAAAGUCCUAGAUAAUGAGGUUUUUGUUGCACUAGUUACAGUUUUCAUAAAUACUUAUUAUACAUACUUAUUCUUGCUAAAAUGAGUCUGUCUUUAGAGCCCCAAAGUUCUUCUUUAGAAAUGUGCAGUAUGUGUCAAACCGCCAGGUGCUAGUUUGCAUGUGUUGGAACACGUGAAUGAUUAACAUUAUUCACAUUAAUCAGCAUAACCAAGGACUGGAAUUCAGAUGGUUAUCUGUUUUGCACAAUAUUUGAGUUCCUUUUUUGGCUCAUUCUGGAUGCUGACUCUAUUCAUGUCAAUUUAAACCAGAACUGGCCACCUAUACACAUCAUUUGAAAGAAAUGGAAUAAGUUCAAACUAGUUGAAAAUCAACAGAUUUAUAUUAAGGGGGGAAAACAUGGACAAUAAGGGGGAACACAGGAGUCCUGGGAUAUGUUUACGACACAAGUUUACCCGGGCCUGCAGCUGCACUUUGCCGUGGUGGAAGGCUUCCACCCAGCUUUGCUGCUGAUGGUGGCCGGAAACAGAAACCUGUCCGUGCUGCAGCGUUUGUGUUGUGAGAAGGACUUUUCUGUUCUGUAUUCUCCUGCAGUUUUUUCUUGGAAGGGAUGGUAGUUGUCUGAGAUUUAACAAAAAACCUUUUUGUAAAAUUGUAGAGAAGAGUGAACACAAAUGGGUAACGCGUCUGUCAUAUUUUGUGUGUUUUUUUACAGGCCAACAGAAAUGUUUUUUAAAGCACUUUGUCCUUUAAUGAGUCACCAUAAUUCAGCUUCUGCAUGAUGCUUUGAGUAACAGCUACACAAGGCUUGUUUUCUCCAUUGCAAAUCAACAAGUGCAGUGCUAACACGUUUUUUUUUCUUGUUGUUUUUAUUGUGAAUCUCAUUCAAUCAUUCAUCUCCUAACUGUCCACUCAACGGAAAGUCAUUGAUUAUUAACAAGGUCAUCUCUUUGUUUUUGGGAAACAUGUAUCAAUGACCAAUGCGAUGAUCUCACUGCAGGUUUAUGUACGUUUUC
Long non-coding RNA from Gasterosteus aculeatus (three-spined stickleback), 2557 nucleotides. The record is from Ensembl. NCBI's taxonomy places the organism in Eukaryota, Metazoa, Chordata, Actinopteri, Perciformes, Gasterosteidae.